GCAAGUCGAGCGAUGAAGCCCUUCGUGGGUGGAUUAGCGGCGGACGGGUGAGUAACACGUGGGUAACCUGCCUCAAAGUGGGGGAUAGCCUUCCGAAAGGAAGAUUAAUACCGCAUAAUCCAUAAGUUCCGCAUGGAACAUAUGGUAAAGAUCUAUUGCUUCGAGAUGGACCCGCGGCGCAUUAGCUAGUUGGUGAGGUAACGGCUCACCAAGGCCACGAUGCGUAUCCGACCUGAGAGGGUGAUCGGCCACAUUGGAACUGAGACACGGUCCAGACUCCUACGGGAGGCAGCAGUGGGGAAUAUUGCACAAUGGGCGAAAGCCUGAUGCAGCAACGCCGCGUGAGUGAUGAAGGCCUUCGGGUUGUAAAGCUCUGUCUUUGGGGACGAUAAUGACGGUACCCAAGGAGGAAGCCACGGCUAACUACGUGCCAGCAGCCGCGGUAAUACGUAGGUGGCAAGCG
This 463-nucleotide ribosomal RNA is filed under the name uncultured bacterium. RNAcentral describes it as "bacterial SSU rRNA". It matches the Rfam family "Bacterial small subunit ribosomal RNA", at positions 57 to 540 of the family's 1533-position model. The record is from RNAcentral.